ACACAUGCAAGUCGAGGGGCAGCACAAAGAUAGUUUACUAUUUUGGUGGCGACCGGCGCACGGGUGAGUAACGCGUAUGCAACCUACCUUAUACAGGAGUAUAGCCCGAAGAAAUUCGGAUUAAUCCUCCAUAGUAUUUUCUAAUGGCAUCAUUUGGAAAAUUAAAGCUUCGGCGGUAUAAGAUGGGCAUGCGUCCUAUUAGCUAGAUGGUAAGGUAACGGCUUACCAUGGCAACGAUAGGUAGGGGGCCUGAGAGGGUGAUCCCCCACACUGGUACUGAGACACGGACCAGACUCCUACGGGAGGCAGCAGUGAGGAAUAUUGGGCAAUGGAGGCAACUCUGACCCAGCCAUGCCGCGUGCAGGAAGAAUGCCCUAUGGGUUGUAAACUGCUUUUAUUUAGGAAUAAACCCUUCUACGUGUAGAAGGCUGAAUGUACUAAACGAAUAA
Molecule: ribosomal RNA, 449 nt
Filed under: uncultured Bacteroidota bacterium
Lineage: Bacteria; Pseudomonadati; Bacteroidota
Description: bacterial SSU rRNA
Rfam family: Bacterial small subunit ribosomal RNA
Source: RNAcentral